AUACGGAGGGUGCAAGCGUUGUCCGGAUUUAUUGGGUUUAAAGGGUGUGUAGGCGGUGUAUUAAGUCAGUGGUGAAAGCCUGCGACUCAACCGUAGAACUGCCAUUGAUACUGACACACUUGAGUAUGGACGAGGUAGGCGGAAUUUAUGGUGUAGCGGUGAAAUGCAUAGAUACCAUAAAGAACACCGAUAGCGAAGGCAGCUUACUAGGCCAUAACUGACGCUGAGGCACGAAAGCGUGGGGAGCGAACAGGAUUAGAAACCCCAGUAGUCC
RNAcentral lists this ribosomal RNA (274 nucleotides) under uncultured bacterium. RNAcentral describes it as "partial 16S ribosomal RNA". It matches the Rfam family "Bacterial small subunit ribosomal RNA", at positions 523 to 796 of the family's 1533-position model. The record is from RNAcentral.